Rhodamnia argentea is the source of this 159-nucleotide long non-coding RNA. RefSeq lists it as uncharacterized. NCBI's taxonomy places the organism in Eukaryota, Viridiplantae, Streptophyta, Magnoliopsida, Myrtales, Myrtaceae. The transcript is spliced from 3 exons. The record is from RefSeq and is a predicted model, not a curated record.
ACUUGAUGGGACCCAAGAGGUUUGGUUUCUAUCUUAAAGUUGUUGUGUAAUUCCAACGAAAUCACUGGAGUUUCUCUUGUUUCCACCAAGCCAAUUCAUGUUUGAUUUAUAUGUCAGUUUUCCUGCUUGUCUUGCCUUGUUCUGACUCCACGAAUUGUC